AAACUGGGAUUAGAUACCCCACUAUGCCCCGCCGUAAACUUUUAAUUACACCCCCAUCGCCCGGGAACUACGAGCCAAGCUUAAAACCCAAAGGACUUGACGGUACCCCACAUCCACCUAGAGGAGCCUGUUCUACAAUCGAUAACCCCCGUUUAACCUCACCAUUUUUAGCCAAUCAGUCUGUAUACCUCCGUCGUCAGCUUACCACGUGAGCGACCCAUAAGUGAGCUCAAUGCCCAUACGCCAACACGUCAGGUCAAGGUGCAGCAAAUAAAAUGGAAAGAAAUGGGCUACACUUUCUAAAAUAGAAAACACGAAAGACUAUCUAUGAAAUCCUAGUCAGAAGGCGGAUUUAGUAGUAAAAAGAGAUCAGAGAGCUCUUUUUAACCCGGCACUGGGGUGUGUACACACCGCCCGUCACCCUCUUCGAAGCUCACAGACAGUUAUUAACUAGACCACCGCCAUAUAGAAGAGGCAAGUCGUAACAUGGUAAGUAUACCGGAAGGUGUGCUUGGUAAA
Molecule: ribosomal RNA, 519 nt
Filed under: Paratelmatobius poecilogaster (San Andre rapids frog)
Lineage: Eukaryota; Metazoa; Chordata; Amphibia; Anura; Leptodactylidae
Description: partial 12S ribosomal RNA
Rfam family: Bacterial small subunit ribosomal RNA
Source: RNAcentral